GAUAUUUUACUGCGAGUUCAUUGAGAAAUAUUUUCCUUAAUUAUGUUAUGGAAUAUAGGGUGGGCUAUGAAGGCACCAUGCUUCCUGCUUUCGCCCUUCAAGACAACAUGGCUACAUGGCAUGGGGCCAAUGUGCACCUUCCAGUCAACUGCUAGAGAAGACAACAGCAACACAGACAGGGAUGGCAGCAGGGCAGACUGGAGCUCCAGUAAGACGGUAGUAGAAUCAUCAACAAGGUCUCAUCAACAAGGAGGUGGCCACCCGAGCAUGCACAAGGCUAAGCCAGCAAGUGUGUGCCACUUCAAUUCCCGGGGCCGCUUCCUCUCAGCCCCAGCACAUUCUUCACCCUCUUCUCAGAGUGUCAAGCCUGCAAGUCUCAGCAACCAGCCAGGAGUUCUCUCUAGGUCCUCCUGAUCCCUGCUAACAACUGCCCUGCCAGAAGUGUUGUGACCCUACACCCCAUGUUCUUCAUAGAGGAACGUAUGUGUUAAGAGAUAAGUGUGAAGGUCAUCGCUGAACCAGAUGUACAAGGGAGGAACCGGAGACAGAUGCAAGGGUGCCAGGAGGCUGCAACCCGCCCCUAUUGAAAUGUCAGAGGAGGGCAGAUUUACAGCUCUAAAGAUGAGACAGGCACCUAUCAAUGGGGACAAGAUAGCAGUGAUCAAAACAGCAUGGGAUAACUCCCUGAGAAAUUUGAUGAAAAAACAAGAUAAAGAAUGAGAAGGACAAUUUAAGAAAACAAGAACUUGUCAAACAACAAUUGAUUACAUCAUGAUGAUGCAAAACUCAUUGGGCCCAAUGAAGGAAAAUCACUAUAUAAGCAGCGUGCCUUGCCAUGAAACUUUGGGUUCAUCCUGCCAAGACUACCCCCGAGCAUCAUGUCGCGACUGACAGAACUUGGCUCCUACCUACCCGUGAUCAACCUAACUGGCCACUAGAUUGAUCCGGACUCUGGACUGGUAACUAUAACAUU
Chrysemys picta bellii (western painted turtle) is the source of this 973-nucleotide non-coding RNA. The record is from RefSeq and is a predicted model, not a curated record. Lineage: Eukaryota; Metazoa; Chordata; Testudines; Emydidae.